GAAAAGAACUUUGAAAAGAGAGUUAAAUAGUACGUGAAAUUGUUGAAAGGGAAACGAUUGAAGCCAGUCGUACUGACGGGAAAUCAACUUCUCGAGUGCUUGUCGUGGGUUACGUCGAGCUUCACGGCCUUCGUUGCUUGCGUUAUGGUGCUUUUGAGGUGUACUUUUCCGUAUGGUUGGUCAACAUCGAUUUUGGUCGUCAUAAAAUGAUCGGGGGAAUGUGGCUCUGGUCUCGUAUCGGAGUGUUAUAGCCUUUGGUAGAUGUGACGAUUGGGAUCGAGGAUUGCAACGAAUACCCUUUUGGGCUAUCCGUCUGACCUCUGAAAGUCGCUCGGGUGUUGAAAGCUUGCUUAUGGCAUCUUAGUUGGCGGUCAAAAGGUUAGAACGCGAUUACAUUCGU
Molecule: ribosomal RNA, 400 nt
Filed under: uncultured Glomeromycotina
Lineage: Eukaryota; Fungi; Glomeromycota
Description: eukaryotic LSU rRNA
Source: RNAcentral